RNAcentral lists this ribosomal RNA (301 nucleotides) under uncultured bacterium. RNAcentral's name for it is "partial 16S ribosomal RNA". It matches the Rfam family "Bacterial small subunit ribosomal RNA", at positions 509 to 807 of the family's 1533-position model. The record is from RNAcentral.
CAGUCGCCACGGUAAUACGUAGGUGGCAAGCGUUGUCCGGAAUUAUUGGGCGUAAAGGGCUCGCAGGCGGUUUCUUAAGUCUGAUGUGAAAGCCCCCGGCUCAACCGGGGAGGGUCAUUGGAACCUGGGAAACUUGAGUGCAGAAGAGGAGAGUGGAAUUCCACGUGUAGCGGUGAAAUGCGUAGAGAUGUGGAGGAACACCAGUGGCGAAGGCGACUCUCUGGUCUGUAACUGACGCUGAGGAGCGAAAGCGUGGGGAGCGAACAGGAUUAGAUACCCCCGUAGUCCCUGUCUCUUAUAC